RNAcentral lists this ribosomal RNA (515 nucleotides) under syncytium endosymbiont of Diaphorina citri. RNAcentral's name for it is "bacterial SSU rRNA". It matches the Rfam family "Bacterial small subunit ribosomal RNA", at positions 518 to 1031 of the family's 1533-position model. Lineage: Bacteria; Pseudomonadati; Pseudomonadota; Betaproteobacteria. The record is from RNAcentral.
CGGUAAUACGUAGGGUGCGAGCGUUAAUCGGAAUUAUUGGGCGUAAAGCGUACGUAGGCGGUUUUGUAAGACAGAUGUGAAAUGCCUGGGCUCAACCUUGGAAUUGCAUUUGUGACUGCAAAGCUAGAGUGUGUCAGAGGGAGAUAGAAUUCCACAUGUAGCAGUGAAAUGCGUAGAUAUGUGGAGGAAUACCGAUGGCGAAGGCAGUCUCCUGGGAUAACACUGACGCUCAUGUACGAAAGCGUGGGGAGCAAACAGGAUUAGAUACCCUGGUAGUCCACGCCGUAAACGAUGUCUACUAGUUGUUGGAUCUUAAUUGAUUUAGUAACGUAGCUAACGCGUGAAGUAGACCGCCUGGGGAGUACGGUCGCAAGAUUAAAACUCAAAGGAAUUGACGGGGACCCGCACAAGCGGUGGAUGAUGUGGAUUAAUUCGAUGCAACGCGAAAAACCUUACCUACCCUUGACAUGUUAGAAACUAUAAAGAGAUUUAUAGGUGCUUGCAAAAGAAUCUAA